This is a long non-coding RNA of Osmerus eperlanus (European smelt), 1048 nucleotides long. RefSeq lists it as uncharacterized. The transcript is spliced from 5 exons. Lineage: Eukaryota; Metazoa; Chordata; Actinopteri; Osmeriformes; Osmeridae. The record is from RefSeq and is a predicted model, not a curated record.
UGCACAUAUUCUGCCAUCAUUCGCUGCAAAGACUGCAUGCCAGAGGAGUGGCUGUGUAUGGAUUGCGACAUCCGCAUCCAUGUAAAACUCGCACUCCAUAUCAGGGAGUUCUGCAUCGAUGUGAUUUACAAGCCCAUUGACCCAACAGAGUGCUGUAUGCAAAAAGAUGGAAGAUACACACUGUUCAAACAAGGUAGAAAUUUGUCUGUUCUUCAACCUGUCCAGUUGUGCACUUGUGGCCCUGCAAACAUUGCAGAAUUAGCUGGCAGAGCAAUAAUUCUGGUUUGCAUAAAUGGUCGCUUUGAUUUGCACUUGCCACACUUGCUGUCUGGCACAGUGGACACCUGACAGGAGUGACCUCAUUCGAUGUGGGUAUUGGCCAGCAUCCGUAAAUGCUGACACAUUGUUUGCUGUGGACGUCUUCAGCACCUUUGAAGAGAUGAAAACUGUGGCACCCAGUUUGUCGAGACAAGGGUUUUUGCAUAUGUUGGAGAGGAGGACAUGUCACUAUGGAAGGGCUGGGAAAAUACAUGGAGACGUAUUCCAAAGGAGUUUCAUGGAGUACACAUUCUGCCAGUAUCAAUGUGAGAAAAUGGCCAGUGUAGAGCACUUCACCUGCCCGGCAUGUACACCCAACAUGCUUGCUGUCUGUACAAAUGGCAACAGGAAACAGUACCGAUUUCGACAGUCAAAGGUUUUUUUUUUUUAUAUACUUUGUAAAAUGAAAUAAACAAAUCAUGUCUGAAGCUAAACAUACUAUUUUUUUUCUUAUUCCAUUAAGGUCAGAGGAACCAUAUUUUGAUGGCACCUUCAUUGCUAAAGACACUGAUGUGCACCAAUUUGUUGAGGAUAUCAGGAGUAACAUGAAAAGUAAUACUGGCAGAGGAACCUGUGGAGACAGUCAGUGGUCUGCUGCACGUGAGACUGCCAGAUGAGCAAACAAACUGGAUGAAGAGGGCCUUGAGGUGGCUGUUUGCACACACGGAGUGCUACUCAAAGCCCUCAACAUGUACAGGGGGGAAAUAUUUGCAUAUCCACUGUUCCUGCA